RNAcentral lists this ribosomal RNA (422 nucleotides) under uncultured bacterium. RNAcentral describes it as "bacterial SSU rRNA". It matches the Rfam family "Bacterial small subunit ribosomal RNA", at positions 355 to 774 of the family's 1533-position model. The record is from RNAcentral.
UAAGGAAUAUUGGUCAAUGGACGCAAGUCUGAACCAGCCAUGCCGCGUGAAGGAUUAAGGCCCUCUGGGUUGUAAACUUCUUUUAUAGGGGAAGAAAUGUGACGGUUUUCCGUCACUUGACGGUACCAGAGGAAUAAGCACCGGCUAACUCCGUGCCAGCAGCCGCGGUAAUACGGAGGGUGCGAGCGUUAUCCGGAUUUACUGGGUUUAAAGGGUGCGUAGGUGGGCUUAUAAGUCAGUGGUGAAAUCUCCGAGCUUAACUUGGAAACUGCCGGUGAUACUAUAGGUCUUGAAUUAUCUGGAGGUAAGCGGAAUAUGUCAUGUAGCGGUGAAAUGCUUAGAUAUGACAUAGAACACCAAUUGCGAAGGCAGCUUACUACAUAUAAAUUGACGCUGAGGCACGAAAGCGUGGGGAUCAAACA